Octodon degus (degu) is the source of this 107-nucleotide small nuclear RNA. Lineage: Eukaryota; Metazoa; Chordata; Mammalia; Rodentia; Octodontidae. The record is from Ensembl.
GUGCUCGAUUUGGCAGCACAUAUCCUAAAACUGGAAUGGCACGGACAAGAUUAGCAUGGCUCCUCCACAAGGGUGGCACACAAAUUCAUGAAGUAUUCCAUGCUACA